Molecule: unclassified non-coding RNA, 292 nt
Filed under: Hevea brasiliensis (rubber tree)
Lineage: Eukaryota; Viridiplantae; Streptophyta; Magnoliopsida; Malpighiales; Euphorbiaceae
Source: RNAcentral
CUAUAGCUAUUUGCAACACAUGUAAACUAAGGCUAGUAAUUGUUAAUUAUGCAAUGGUGGGUUUUUGCUUCCCUCCACACCAUUGCUAGGCCUGAAGAUAUGCGAGUUGUGUGCUUGAAGUCCUGUCAUAUCUUGGAGAAUGUUUUACUUCAUGGACUUACUCUUGUGGGAUGACGUCCUCCUAUGCCUUUUGUGGGCUAGACUAUUCUACACCAUGCAAAUUUAAUUAUGUUGUACAACGCUAUGGUAAUGAUGCAUUCUCCAUUGCAGGAACCUGUUUCCCAUGUUGUGG